AUGAACGCUGGCGGCGUGCCUAAUACAUGCAAGUCGAGCGAACGGACGAGAAGCUUGCUUCUCUGAUGUUAGCGGCGGACGGGUGAGUAACACGUGGAUAACCUACCUAUAAGACUGGGAUAACUUCGGGAAACCGGAGCUAAUACCGGAUAAUAUUUUGAACCGCAUGGUUCAAAAGUGAAAGACGGUCUUGCUGUCACUUAUAGAUGGAUCCGCACUGCAUUAGCUAGUUGGUAAGGUAACGGCUUACCAAGGCAACGAUGCAUAGCCGACCUGAGAGGGUGAUCGGCCACACUGGAACUGAGACACGGUCCAGACUCCUACGGGAGGCAGCAGUAGGGAAUCUUCCGCAAUGGGCGAAAGCCUGACGGAGCAACGCCGCGUGAGUGAUGAAGGUCUUCGGAUCGUAAAACUCUGUUAUUAGGGAAGAACAUAUGUGUAAGUAACUGUGCACAUCUUGACGGUACCUAAUCAGAAAGCCACGGCUAACUACGUG
RNAcentral lists this ribosomal RNA (496 nucleotides) under uncultured bacterium. RNAcentral's name for it is "partial 16S ribosomal RNA". It matches the Rfam family "Bacterial small subunit ribosomal RNA", at positions 29 to 507 of the family's 1533-position model. The record is from RNAcentral.